RNAcentral lists this ribosomal RNA (769 nucleotides) under Sanguibacter suarezii. RNAcentral describes it as "bacterial SSU rRNA". It matches the Rfam family "Bacterial small subunit ribosomal RNA", at positions 67 to 847 of the family's 1533-position model. Lineage: Bacteria; Bacillati; Actinomycetota; Actinomycetes; Micrococcales; Sanguibacteraceae. The record is from RNAcentral.
UGAUGGGGGAAGCUUGCUCCUCCUGAUCAGUGGCGAACGGGUGAGUAACACGUGAGUAACCUGCCCUUGACUCUGGGAUAACUUCGGGAAACCGUGGCUAAUACCGGAUACGAGAUGCGACCGCAUGGUCUGUGUCUGGAAAGUUUUUCGGUCAAGGAUGGACUCGCGGCCUAUCAGCUUGUUGGUGAGGUAAUGGCUCACCAAGGCGUCGACGGGUAGCCGGCCUGAGAGGGCGACCGGCCACACUGGGACUGAGACACGGCCCAGACUCCUACGGGAGGCAGCAGUGGGGAAUAUUGCACAAUGGGCGAAAGCCUGAUGCAGCGACGCCGCGUGAGGGAUGAAGGCCUUCGGGUUGUAAACCUCUUUCAGUAGGGAAGAAGCGAAAGUGACGGUACCUGCAGAAGAAGCACCGGCUAACUACGUGCCAGCAGCCGCGGUAAUACGUAGGGUGCAAGCGUUGUCCGGAAUUAUUGGGCGUAAAGAGCUCGUAGGCGGUUUGUCGCGUCUGGUGUGAAAACUCAAGGCUCAACCUUGAGCUUGCAUCGGGUACGGGCAGACUAGAGUGUGGUAGGGGUGACUGGAAUUCCUGGUGUAGCGGUGGAAUGCGCAGAUAUCAGGAGGAACACCGAUGGCGAAGGCAGGUCACUGGGCCACUACUGACGCUGAGGAGCGAAAGCAUGGGGAGCGAACAGGAUUAGAUACCCUGGUAGUCCAUGCCGUAAACGUUGGGCACUAGGUGUGGGGCUCAUUCCACGAGUUCCGCGCC